CCUACGGGUGGCAGCAGUGGGGAAUUUUCCGCAAUGGGCGAAAGCCUGACGGAGCAAUACCGCGUGAGGGAGGAAGGCUCUUGGGUCGUAAACCUCUUUUCUCAGGGAAGAACAAAAUGACGGUACCUGAGGAAUAAGCAUCGGCUAACUCUGUGCCAGCAGCCGCGGUAAUACAGAGGAUGCAAGCGUUAUCCGGAAUGAUUGGGCGUAAAGCGUCCGUAGGUGGUUUGUCAAGUCUGUGGUUAAAGCGCGAAGCUCAACUUCGUAAGGGCCAUGGAAACUGAGAGACUAGAGUCAAGUAGGGGUAGAGGGAAUUCCCAGUGUAGCGGUGAAAUGCGUAGAGAUUGGGAAGAACACCGGUGGCGAAAGCGCUCUACUGGACUUGUACUGACACUGAGGGACGAAAGCUAGGGGAGCGAAAGGGAUUAGAUACCCCAGUAGUC
Molecule: ribosomal RNA, 443 nt
Filed under: uncultured bacterium
Lineage: Bacteria
Description: bacterial SSU rRNA
Rfam family: Bacterial small subunit ribosomal RNA
Source: RNAcentral